GGUUGCUGGUACAAGUCCCAUCAGGCUGCGAGGAGCCCUUCCCGGACGCUGCUGGCUCCUGGAACUGACUUGCCUCCUCAUGCACACGUAGGCAGCUUAUCUCGGGUUUUGUUUUGGCUUCGAAAUCUUUUAAUCUCCCAGGAUCUUUGAGUGGAUCAGCUCCUAUUUUUACUCUUGGAUAGAGAAGUGAAUCAGAGACACGGCCAACUCCGUUGGACUUGUGGAGGCCUGUCCCCGAGCACUGAAUUCCUUGCAGCUUCAAGACAGAGCUGAGACUGAAUUAAAAAACACCAACAGGAUUGGGCCUGCUCAUGAUCAUGGAGUUUGGUGCGUAGUAGGCAUUCAGCAGGUAUUCGUUGAAAAUAAAUAUCAAUGAAUCCUGUUAAUUCUAAGUAGCUUUCUUCCCCUGCCCCCACUGCACAGAGUGUAGUACACAAGGCAAUGGCAGCCAAUAGGUUGUUACCUGAAUUGGCAGAGCCCUCUGCCUGUAAUUUUACCAAAGCAAAAAUAUUUGUGGAUGUGGCUACACACAGUGGCACUUUCUAGGCUUCAUGCAGGCUUGGAAACCUUCCUUUUUCUUUUCUUAUACGCGGCCACUGCAUUUACCCUCCACCUUCUUUCUAAGGGAAGACCCAGUCACAGAACCAGUUUAAACUGCAUCCCUUUUGAAUGGGGCCAGACUCACACGAGGAGUGGUGACUGUACGAGUUAAUGUGGUUUUACUACCCAGAAGGUGAGAUUUAGCUGUCAUUUUAGAGCUCAUUUAAAACAUUCUCUAUAACUUCCUUCUAGUGUUUCUAAGAUUCUAUUUUGUAGAGUAGUUACAAUUUUGGAUUUAAGAUCCUCCCUUUUGAGCCUUUGUAAGCUAGUGUAGAGGUUCAUGAUGUGUGAUGAGUUAUAAUUUUUCUGAGGCCCAAAUUUGAGCCUCACGUGCUGUUGGAAUGGGCCCCCGAGGUGAGUUCCUGUUUUCACCCAGCGCCUGUGCUCACUGUGGCUUCAUCAUCCUAUGCUCACCCCGACCUCGUCCCUUUCAUACCAAAGUGAACAUUUGAUUGUGAAGUCCUUGUUCUGUGGUGAUAUUAACAAACUUGAGGAUUUCUGUAGUCGUUGCAAUGCAAACUCGCAACUGCCAAAUGUCUACUAUUUCUAUUUUUACCUUUUCUGAGUAUUAAAAAAAAUGAAGUAUAAUUUAAGUACAACAAAAUGCACAGGUGUGGCAUGUUUAGUUUGAUAAGUUUGGACAAUUGUACACCUGUGUAACCAUCAAGAUUCAGAACACAUCCACCACCCCAGAACUUCCUCUUCUGUUCCUUUCCGGUGAAUUGUUGAUCCACCCCUAUAAUCUUGGAAGCAGCCACUUUUUGACUUCCAUCACCAUAGCUCUGAGCUCAUAGAACAGUUUUGCCUGUUCUAGAGUUUCAAACAAAUGAAUUCUUCCAAUAUGUAUUCUUUGUGUGUGUGACUUCCGUCACUCAAUGUGCAGUUUUUGAGGUGUGCCCAUGUCAUUGCACCUAUUAGUAAUUUGUACUUUUUAACGGCUCAGUAGUAUUCUACUUAUGGCCAUUCCAUGGUUUGUUUACCCAUCCUCCCGUUGAUGGACAUUUGUCUUGUGGGGAAAGGAGGCUAUUGUAAACAAAGCAGCUAUAAACACUCUUGCUUUCUGUAGACAUAGGUUUUCAUUUCUUUUGGGUAACUGUUAAUACCUAGAAACGGAAUUGCUGGGCCAUAUUCUUCAGGAGAAUUGCCAAACAGAUUUUCAACAUGGUUGUACCAUUACUCUCCCCUAGUAAUAUAAGAGAGUUCUGGUUUCUCUACAUCCUGGCCAACAUUUGGUGCUGUCGAUCAUUUUUAUCUGAGCUAGUCUAGUGGGUGCGAAAGGGCAUCUUGCUGUAGUUUUAAUUUCCGCUUCUCUGAUGACUAAUAGUGCUGAGCAAACUGUCAUGUGCUUCCUGACCAUUCCUAGAUGUUCUUCAGUUAAAUGUCUGUUCAAGUCUUUUGUUCAUGUUUAAAAUCGGGUUAUGGCCGGGAGCAGCCUAUAAUCCCAGCACUCUGGGAGGCUAAGGAGGACAGAUCACCUGAGGUCAGGAGUUCAAGACCAGCCUGGCUAACGUGGUGAAACCUCAUCUCCACUAAAAAUAAAAAUGAGCUGGGCAUGAUGGUGGGUGCCUGUAAUCCCAGCUACUCGGGAGACUGAGGCAGAAGAAUCGCUUGAACCUGGGAGGUGGAGGUUGCAGUGAGCUGAGAUCGUGCCAUUACACUGCAGCCUGGGUGACAGAAUGAGACUCCAACUCAAAAAAAUAAAAAAAAUUAAAAAAAUCAGGUUAUUUACUCGCGUUAAUUGGUAAGAGUUCUAUUAUUUAUUUUUGUACUUUCCCUUUUCUACGGUUACUUUUCUGUUACCUUCCAAAUUCCUUGAGAUAUUUUAUCAGUUCUCUCAACAGCAUCCACUAUGGUGGUUUGUAAAUAGUGGGUGCUUAAUAAACACUUACUGGUUUAAUAGCAGAAAGCAUUCAGGCUGUUCAUUUCUAAAUGCCUUAAGCCGAUCUGGCAUAUACUACUUGCUUUUGGAAACUGUCAUAAACUUCAUAGUUAAUUUUACAACACUGACUUAGGAAGAUCUGAAGCUUUCAUGAUAGGUGGUCUCUUAGAGAAGUUGAAAUAUUUAUAGCCUUGAAAAUAGAACAUUCUGUACCAUCACCUGUUUUCUUCUUCUUCUGAAAUUUAUGAGACAUUUCUUAAC
Long non-coding RNA from Callithrix jacchus (white-tufted-ear marmoset), 2740 nucleotides. The record is from Ensembl. NCBI's taxonomy places the organism in Eukaryota, Metazoa, Chordata, Mammalia, Primates, Cebidae.